GUUCAAGACACUGUUGAACUAGAGCAUGUAUAUGGUCGACUUUACCCAGCUGAAUAUGAAGGAAAUCUGCCUGGGUCAUCUUACAGACUACAGAUAACAGACUAAAAUCAGAGACUGUACCCAGUCCUGGAGUCAUCAUCCAAUUGAAUUUCAUCGUUAAUCAUCAACCUCAUCC
Molecule: long non-coding RNA, 175 nt
Organism: Pecten maximus
Lineage: Eukaryota; Metazoa; Mollusca; Bivalvia; Pectinida; Pectinidae
Exons: 3
Source: RefSeq, a predicted model, not a curated record